CGCGGCCUAUCAGCUUGUUGGUGAGGUAAUGGCUCACCAAGGCGACGACGGGUAGCCGGCCUGAGAGGGCGACCGGCCACACUGGGACUGAGACACGGCCCAGACUCCUACGGGAGGCAGCAGUGGGGAAUAUUGCACAAUGGGCGAAAGCCUGAUGCGGCGACGCCGCGUGAGGGAUGACGGCCUUCGGGUUGUAAACCUCUUUCAGCAGGGAAGAAGCGAAAGUGACGGUACCUGCAGAAGAAGCGCCGGCUAACUACGUGCCAGCAGCCGCGGUAAUACGUAGGGCGCAAGCGUUGUCCGGAAUUAUUGGGCGUAAAGAGCUCGUAGGCGGCUUGUCACGUCGGGUGUGAAAGCCCGGGGCUUAACCCCGGGUCUGCAUUCGAUACGGGCUAGCUAGAGCGUGGUAGGGGAAAUCGGAAUUCCUGGUGUAGCGGUGAAAUGCGCAGAUAUCAGGAGGAACACCGGUGGCGAAGGCGGAUCUCUGGGCCAUUACUGACGCUGAGGAGCGAAAGCGUGGGGAGCGAACGGGAUUAGAUACCCUGGUAGUCCACGCCGUAAACGGUGGGAACUAGGUGUUGGCGACAUUCCACGUCGUCGGUGCCGCGGCUAACGCAUUAAGUUCCCCGCC
This 631-nucleotide ribosomal RNA is filed under the name uncultured bacterium. Its description in RNAcentral is "bacterial SSU rRNA". It matches the Rfam family "Bacterial small subunit ribosomal RNA", at positions 232 to 873 of the family's 1533-position model. The record is from RNAcentral.